This 423-nucleotide long non-coding RNA is filed under the name Cyanistes caeruleus (blue tit). Its description in RNAcentral is "lncRNA (ENSCCEG00000014081.1)". The record is from RNAcentral. Lineage: Eukaryota; Metazoa; Chordata; Aves; Passeriformes; Paridae.
CCAAUCUAGGAUGGCUUACUCCUCCAUGAACAUGGGGUAUAGUACACAGCCAAUGCUAUGAUGCCUUCACCUUUCGGCUAAAUGCUCUUCCUUUGAAGAAGAAAACCAGUCAGGAACCUACAGAUGUUCCAGAAAAGAAUGUUAAUGAACAUGAAUAUUGGACAUGUAACUCCUGAAGUAUUUUGAAGAAACAGUUGAGACUGAGCGAACAGGAAAUCCUUCAAGGCAACUGCUCCCAGAACAGUGAAAGGAAUGGAAACUGGAACAUCAGCCAUAUCUCAUUUCAAAAGGUGCCGAAUGGGAGCUUUUGUAGGGUCUGGAUGUGUGGUUGUGGUAUUGCAGGCAGUGCAGCAAAUUGCCAGGUGCCAGCUGAGCCACAGUUACCCUGGAGGCUGUGUCCUUCCCUUUCCCAUAGAAAAUGUA